AGUGAACGCUGGCGGUAGGCCUAACACAUGCAAGUCGAACGGCAGCACAGUAAGAGCUUGCUCUUACGGGUGGCGAGUGGCGGACGGGUGAGGAAUACAUCGGAAUCUACUUUUUCGUGGGGGAUAACGUAGGGAAACUUACGCUAAUACCGCAUACGACCUACGGGUGAAAGCAGGGGAUCUUCGGACCUUGCGCGAUUGAAUGAGCCGAUGUCGGAUUAGCUAGUUGGCGGGGUAAAGGCCCACCAAGGCGACGAUCCGUAGCUGGUCUGAGAGGAUGAUCAGCCACACUGGAACUGAGACACGGUCCAGACUCCUACGGGAGGCAGAAGUGGGGAAUAUUGGACAAUGGGCGCAAGCCUGAUCCAGCCAUACCGCGUGGGUGAAGAAGGCCUUCGGGUUGUAAAGCCCUUUUGUUGGGAAAGAAAAGCAGCAGGUUAAUACCCCGCUGUUCUGACGGUACCCAAAGAAUGAGCACCGGCUAACUUCGUG
This 492-nucleotide ribosomal RNA is filed under the name uncultured bacterium. RNAcentral's name for it is "partial 16S ribosomal RNA". It matches the Rfam family "Bacterial small subunit ribosomal RNA", at positions 29 to 507 of the family's 1533-position model. The record is from RNAcentral.